This 424-nucleotide long non-coding RNA is filed under the name Homo sapiens (human). Its description in RNAcentral is "HSALNT0292254". The record is from RNAcentral. Lineage: Eukaryota; Metazoa; Chordata; Mammalia; Primates; Hominidae.
CGGUGGGCCGGGCCUUCACCACCCUGGUGACUUUGGUCCAGCUUGGCUGCCUAAUCCUCUACAAAAAUGCGAAGAAAGUAAACCAACAUGUACAAACACGAGUAAACGCAGGAAUAGGCGAGGGAAUGGUCAUCUCCAUGGCAGUGACGUUCCACGGUGCGAAUGGGCAGAGAGAGCCAGUGGCUUCCGGCCUUACAUAACCUUCUCACCUGGGAAGGGCCCCCUGUCCGGUGGACACGUGACUUGCAUGACCUUACCUAUCAUUGGAGACGACUCACACUCCUUACCCUGCCCUCUUGCCUUGUAUACAAUAAAUAACAGCAUGGCCAGGCAUUCAGGGCCACUACCAGUCUCCGUGCCUUGGUGGUAGUGGUCCCCUGGGCCCAGCUGUCUUUUCUUCUAUCUCUUUGUCUUGUGUCUUUAU